This is a long non-coding RNA of Triticum dicoccoides, 428 nucleotides long. RefSeq lists it as uncharacterized. Lineage: Eukaryota; Viridiplantae; Streptophyta; Magnoliopsida; Poales; Poaceae. The record is from RefSeq and is a predicted model, not a curated record. The transcript has 3 exons.
GGACACCUUGACUGCUGAGCAGGUACAUUGGUUGCCUUAUGUGGAAGAUCGUGACUUUGAUCUUAAUGAGAUGUGCACGCGUGAUAGCCAUCUUUGGCGGGCGAGGUGCCCAAUGAUAUGCUUCUUCGCAGUCGAGUGGCACUUUGUAGACCAUGUGGCAAGACAAUUUGGAAAAAGACAAGGUAUUCCAAUUGAGGAGAGCAAGGAGGAAAUGCUAUCUCUGCAUCGGUUCGAUCGAAGGAACAAUCAGGAUAUAUCGGAUUGGGCAAACAAACACCGUGCGUGGAUAGAAAUUUGGAAUCAAAGAGACACGUUAGUGCAAUCAGAGAAUAGACCUCACAAUCAGUCAGCAUAUCAGAAGUAUCAAGUGUGGUAUGCGGAUCGUUACCGGUUAAAGCUGAAGCCAGGUUGGACUCACGAGGAGUGGU